UGGGGAAUUUUGGACAAUGGGCGAAAGCCUGAUCCAGCAAUGCCGCGUGUGUGAAGAAGGCCUUCGGGUUGUAAAGCACUUUUGUCCGGAAAGAAAUCCUUGGCUCUAAUACAGUCGGGGGAUGACGGUACCGGAAGAAUAAGCACCGGCUAACUACGUGCCAGCAGCCGCGGUAAUACGUAGGGUGCAAGCGUUAAUCGGAAUUACUGGGCGUAAAGCGUGCGCAGGCGGUUUGCUAAGACCGAUGUGAAAUCCCCGGGCUCAACCUGGGAACUGCAUUGGUGACUGGCAGGCUAGAGUAUGGCAGAGGGGGGUAGAAUUCCACGUGUAGCAGUGAAAUGCGUAGAGAUGUGGAGGAAUACCGAUGGCGAAGGCAGCCCCCUGGGCCAAUACUGACGCUCAUGCACGAAAGCGUGGGGAGCAAACAGGAUUAGAUACCCUGGUAGUCCACGCCCUAAACGAUGUCAACUAGUUGUUGGGGAUUCAUUUCCUUAGUAACGUAGCUAACGCGUGAAGUUGGCCGCCUGGGGAGUACGGUCGCAAGAUUAAAAACUCAAAUGAAUUGACGGGGUCAUAGCUGUUUCCU
Molecule: ribosomal RNA, 586 nt
Filed under: uncultured bacterium
Lineage: Bacteria
Description: partial 16S ribosomal RNA
Rfam family: Bacterial small subunit ribosomal RNA
Source: RNAcentral